RNAcentral lists this ribosomal RNA (253 nucleotides) under uncultured bacterium. Its description in RNAcentral is "partial 16S ribosomal RNA". It matches the Rfam family "Bacterial small subunit ribosomal RNA", at positions 524 to 776 of the family's 1533-position model. The record is from RNAcentral.
UACAGAGGGUGCAAGCGUUAAUCGGAAUUACUGGGCGUAAAGCGUGCGCAGGCGGUUCGUUGUGUCGGCGGUGAAAGCCCCGGGCUUAACCUGGGAAUGGCCGUUGAAACUGGCGAACUGGAGUGUGGCAGAGGGGGGUGGAAUUCCGCGUGUAGCAGUGAAAUGCGUAGAUAUGCGGAGGAACACCGAUGGCGAAGGCAAUCCCCCUGGGCCUGCAUCGAGCUCAUGCACGAAAGCGUGGGGAGCAAACAGG